Pseudopipra pipra is the source of this 879-nucleotide long non-coding RNA. RefSeq lists it as uncharacterized. The transcript has 4 exons. NCBI's taxonomy places the organism in Eukaryota, Metazoa, Chordata, Aves, Passeriformes, Pipridae. The record is from RefSeq and is a predicted model, not a curated record.
UUGCAGAGUGCCUGUUGGAAGUGCUGCCUGUUGUGGUGGAAGGGUCAAAAAAUGCUCGUCAGCUGCUGCUGGAAGGGAAUGGGCAAGAACAGAAAGAUAAGCAGGCAGGGGAAUCUAGAGAUUUCUGUAAAAUCUAUGGAAGAGUCAGAAAUGGAAGCCAAGCAGUGGAAGAUGAUGUGACCCAUAACACACUGAGACCCUGUGAUAGAUAAUAUACGAACCCACACUGCUCCCUCUUGCCUAUAAACCAGUGCCUGCUAAGUGAAUCCCCUCUUGCCUGCCUUCCCUGAGUGCCUGUAGAGCUGUGUUCAAACUGCUGGAAGGAGCUGCGCUGCAAAAGGAACAGGGAAGGAUGAAACCAGUCAGUAGGUGAGUACCAGCCAAUGCAACAAUCAAGGAACUGGUCUAUGUAAAUCACGUAGUUGGUUUUUUUAGUAUUUUUUUUUACAAAAAAGCAGACACCAUAAUAGCAGAAUGGACAAAUUUGUACAUAAAACUGGCUCAGUUCCAGUUAUAGAGUGAUUCCCUGAAGUGGUACGGAUUUGCUUCAUCUCACAGUGGAUUAUUUUAUAAUAGCCCAAGUUUUAUCAAAUAUGAGAACAAGAACCUUAAAGCUUUACUGUCAGUGAAAGAUUAUAAAGGUUCUGGGCAAAGGGACAAAAAUUAGGAAGUGAUUUGAAAGCAUUUAGAAAUCAGAUGUUGAGGCCUGGUCUCUUACACAGUAGUUGGACAAAGAAACAAAACCUGCAACUACUGAAGACUAUCGUAAAUGUUCUGUGAUAGGAUUUGAAGUGAAGUAAUUUAAGGAAGUAUGUGAUAAAGAUUAUUCCUUCCAGAUCGUAGCCAUAGAAAAAUGCCAGGAAAACUGAGGAAAUUUUG